This 33-nucleotide non-coding RNA is filed under the name unclassified sequences. The record is from Rfam.
UGAGCGGUACCCGAAAAGCUCAUAGAGUAGGGA